Molecule: transfer RNA, 73 nt
Filed under: Caudoviricetes sp.
Lineage: Duplodnaviria; Heunggongvirae; Uroviricota; Caudoviricetes
Description: tRNA-Lys
Rfam family: tRNA
About the family: Transfer RNA (tRNA) molecules are approximately 80 nucleotides in length.
Source: RNAcentral
GCGCUCGUAGCUCAGUUGGUAGAGUACAGGACUUUUAAUCCUGAAGCCGUGGGUCCAAGUCCCACCGGGCGCA